RNAcentral lists this microRNA precursor (63 nucleotides) under Chrysemys picta bellii (western painted turtle). RNAcentral's name for it is "Cpi-Mir-181-P2c_pre stem-loop". It matches the Rfam family "mir-181 microRNA precursor family", at positions 12 to 72 of the family's 83-position model. Rfam says of the family: In this case the mature sequence comes from the 5' arm of the precursor. The extents of the hairpin precursors are not generally known and are estimated based on hairpin prediction. The products are thought to have regulatory roles through complementarity to mRNA. The record is from RNAcentral. Lineage: Eukaryota; Metazoa; Chordata; Testudines; Emydidae.
AACAUUCAUUGCUGUCGGUGGGUUGUGUUGUUGAAGGAAAAACUCACUGAUCAAUGAAUGCAA